Molecule: long non-coding RNA, 476 nt
Organism: Cervus elaphus (red deer)
Lineage: Eukaryota; Metazoa; Chordata; Mammalia; Artiodactyla; Cervidae
Exons: 3
Source: RefSeq, a predicted model, not a curated record
CCUCCACGCUCACCCGCUCCCGCUCUUCUCUCUGAGGCUCAUAAGGUAGCAAUGAAGGAAGCCUCCUGUAACUGCUUUUCCACCGCUAGGCACUUUGUUGUGUCUAUCCAUGGAGGUCGUCUGGCAAUUUUAUGUGACGUUCACUUUGGAGCAUGUGCUCAUCUUCUAUACCCACAGCAGAGGAAACUGCAGCAGGAAGGUCCAAAUCUGUUCCCCUUGCAAGCCUGCACCUGAUACCUGCAAAUACUCUGCCUCUUGCUGUCACUGGGACCAGAGGAAACAGGAAUGAACUGCGACUCCAGAGCCCAGCACCGACUGAGCUCUAGCUCUGACCCUGAGAUCCAAAAGAAAGAAGGAAAAUGCUUAUUGAGGAUUCUUAUGUGGCAAAACUGCGCCAGUGCUCUUCAGGUUUCAGUCUUAAUUUUAACAGCAAUCCUGUGAAGUGAUUCCUAUUAUGCCUGUUUUACAGAUGAAGA